GAUGAACGUUGGCGGCGUGCCUAACACAUGCAAGUCGAACGGAAAUAGCAAUAUUUGAGUGGCGCACGGGUGAGUAACACGUAGCUAAUCUACCUCAAAGCGCGGGAUAACGUGUCGAAAGACAGGCUAAUACCGCAUAAGCUCCCGGACUGUAGAGGUUUGGGAGAAAAGGCGUAAGUCACUUUGAGAUGAGGCUGCGG
Molecule: ribosomal RNA, 200 nt
Filed under: uncultured bacterium
Lineage: Bacteria
Description: partial 16S ribosomal RNA
Rfam family: Bacterial small subunit ribosomal RNA
Source: RNAcentral